RNAcentral lists this ribosomal RNA (455 nucleotides) under Staphylococcus aureus. Its description in RNAcentral is "bacterial SSU rRNA". It matches the Rfam family "Bacterial small subunit ribosomal RNA", at positions 1 to 444 of the family's 1533-position model. Lineage: Bacteria; Bacillati; Bacillota; Bacilli; Caryophanales; Staphylococcaceae. The record is from RNAcentral.
UUUUAUGGAGAGUUUGAUCCUGGCUCAGGAUGAACGCUGGCGGCGUGCCUAAUACAUGCAAGUCGAGCGAACGGACGAGAAGCUUGCUUCUCUGAUGUUAGCGGCGGACGGGUGAGUAACACGUGGAUAACCUACCUAUAAGACUGGGAUAACUUCGGGAAACCGGAGCUAAUACCGGAUAAUAUUUUGAACCGCAUGGUUCAAAAGUGAAAGACGGUCUUGCUGUCACUUAUAGAUGGAUCCGCGCUGCAUUAGCUAGUUGGUAAGGUAACGGCUUACCAAGGCAACGAUGCAUAGCCGACCUGAGAGGGUGAUCGGCCACACUGGAACUGAGACACGGUCCAGACUCCUACGGGAGGCAGCAGUAGGGAAUCUUCCGCAAUGGGCGAAAGCCUGACGGAGCAACGCCGCGUGAGUGAUGAAGGUCUUCGGAUCGUAAAACUCUGUUAUUAGGG